Molecule: ribosomal RNA, 253 nt
Filed under: uncultured bacterium
Lineage: Bacteria
Description: partial 16S ribosomal RNA
Rfam family: Bacterial small subunit ribosomal RNA
Source: RNAcentral
UACGUAGGGAGCAAGCGUUGUCCGGAAUCAUUGGGCGUAAAGCGCGCGUAGGCGGCCCGGUAAGUCCGUUGUAAAAGUCAAAGGCUCAACCUUUGAAAGCCGAUGGAUACUGCCGGGCUAGAGUCCGGAAGAGGCGAGUAGAAUUCCUGGUGUAGCGGUGAAAUGCGCAGAUAUCAGGAGGAACACCGGUGGCGAAGGCGGGUCUCUGGGCCGAUACUGACGCUGAGGAGCGAAAGCGUGGGGAGCGAACAGG